GAGGAAAUCCCAGAAGCCAUUCAGCAGUGCAGCACGUUAGUUUCUACAUAAAAAUGGAAGCUGGAAGCCAGUUGUCCUUCCUGGGAUCACAGCUACUCCACUUUCCUCAGCAUAUUCUGCAGGAAAACAAAGAAAAAAGGACUGUACUUCAAAAAAUGCCAAACAUGAGAGCGUGUGAUGAAAUAUCUAUCUGCACUGUGGAAGCCUGACAUUUUGAUGCACUGAGACCUAGGGGCCAGUAGGUGCCUAGCCAAUAUGUAUUCAUCGAAUAUGAGCUGAAUGAGUAAAUGAAUGAAAUUGUAAAAGUCCUGGAUUCUGAACCUGAGCUUGUCUUUAACACGCUGUAUUGUUGUCAAGUCACAUCUCCUCUGGGAUUCUCUCUUCAUUUGCUAAAUGGGUAUAUUUCUUUUUUUUUUUUUUCACUUAAAUAAAUAAAAUAAUCAAAUAAGA
Sapajus apella (tufted capuchin) is the source of this 450-nucleotide long non-coding RNA. RefSeq lists it as uncharacterized. NCBI's taxonomy places the organism in Eukaryota, Metazoa, Chordata, Mammalia, Primates, Cebidae. The transcript has 2 exons. The record is from RefSeq and is a predicted model, not a curated record.